CGUUUUGCCAUUCCAACUUUUCGUACUAUAUUCUGUCAGUGCUUAGCACAAGUUUAUUUUAAUUCUGGAUAAAAACAAAAAAAUGCAGCUUUUUUUGAGCAAAAGAUUUGUUUGUGUUCUGUUGCUCAUAAAGAUACAGCAUGCAACCUCAAAAAGCAUUUACAGCACUCUUUACAGCUGAUUUCCUAAAGACUGAAUUAAUCAAUACCUGAUGCCGCUUCACAGAUCCAUCACAUUAGUGUAAAGUGCACAUUAGUGCAACUUCUGUGUGUGGGUGAAGUUUUAACUUAAAAGAUGUGAACUACUUUCAGCUUCCUGUGAGCUGUUAGUAAUUGUCAGGGCUCCUCUCAGAAAAGAGACCCAGGCUCAGGACUGCCUCGGAGCAGCCCACUCCUAGAAUCACCUCAGCUGGAAGCCGAAAGCUCCAGUUUGGCAGGAGGAAGGUUUCAAUCCUUCCCUGCUUGGAUUAUGAUAAACAUUAAAUGAUGCAUGGAUGGGAAAGGGAAUAAUCCCCCUCCUCCUCCUCCAAAGGGGGCCAUACCGAGAGCCUGUGGUCCCCCGGGAGGGGAAACUCAAGGUGCGGGUUCAGGACUAGGGUGAAGCAUCUGCCAGGUUAGAGAUGACUCGAGCAGGGAGAAAGGAACCAUAAGUGCUAACCGAAGUUCCUGGCAGAGAUGAGCAUUGGCCUUUUUUUCUUCCUUUCAUUUCCGUUCAUGUAUUGCUAGUUUUGCAGCUGCUGUUACCGAUUUUUGAUUGUGCAGAUAAGUAGUUUUAUUUGUGUUUAACUUACUCUGAUUUGUGUCGAGAAUAACUUCAGCGUUGACUGAACCCUAAAGUAUUCCAUUCCUCCAGAAUGGCAAUCCUAAAAAAAACAGUGUCCUGGACAUCUCUCCCCUGCAUCUUCUCUGUGCCGCAUAUAAUAAGGUAAACUCAGACCGGCCUGAAGAAACUUGUCACAGAAGAGGCAAAGGCUGUAAGAUCAGCUGCAACCCUGGAAGACAGCAGAAAAUGUACGUAUCUGGAAGCGAAUCUACAGGAAGAAGGAAUAUAUUAUUGCCUGACAGCAGAAGAAUCUUCAGCAAGUGUCUGCCCUUCUUGUACACCAAAACUAUAAGAAUGAUUGCACUACAUCCAUUUAAUCUAUUACAGUGUCUCUGGCAAUGAUCAACAGCCUCAGGAAGAAUCCCAGACUGGGGCAAGCAGACACUGCCGCUUGCCCAGAAGUCUCGUUCUGGAUAUGUGUGGCUCAGGGUCACAGUUCCUGGUUUCAGUGCCACGAGAGAAAAGAUGCUGGCAACUUCGAGUGAGCCAGUACAAAUGAUUUUUUAUGAAAAGACAGAAAAGCAAAACUUUUCUCACAAGCUCUAUUAAAAUGUUUAGUUUCCCUAUAAUUA
Molecule: long non-coding RNA, 1394 nt
Filed under: Struthio camelus australis
Lineage: Eukaryota; Metazoa; Chordata; Aves; Struthioniformes; Struthionidae
Description: lncRNA (ENSSCUG00000007865.1)
Source: RNAcentral